GCGGAAAAUUACCGGGGCUAAGCUAUACACCGAAAUUGCGGAUUUACAUUUGAAAGACAAUGUAAGUGGUAGAGGAGCAUUCUGUAGUAGGAAGAAGCAUGACCGUAAGGACAUGUGGACGAAGCAGAAGAGAGAAUGCUGGAAUAAGUAGCGAGAGGAUGGUGAGAAUCCAUCCCGUCGAAAAUCUAAGGUUUCCCAGGGAAGGUUCGUCCGCCUGGGGUAAGUCGGGACCUAAGGAGAGGCCGAAAGGCGUAUCUGAUGGAUAGCAGGUUGAAAUUCCUGCACUACGAAUAUACUUAAAAGAUUCAAGGGACGCAGAAGUGGAAGAUAACCAAGUAAGAGGAAAAGCUUGGCUCGCAAGAGGGAGUGAAAAUUAAAAGUAACGAAGUAUCAAGAAGCACGCUGACGAGAAAAGCUUGAAGAUAUUGUAUAUAAGUACCCGUACCGCAAACCGACACAGGUAGAUGAGGAGAGGAUCCUAAGACGAGCGGGAGAAGCAUUGUUAAGGAACUCGGCAAACUAACCCCGUAACUUCGGAAUAAGGGGUGCUGAUGUAACAGUCAGUCGCAGAGAAAAGGCCCAAGCAACUGUUUAACAAAAACAUAGGUUUCUGCUAAAUCGAAAGAUGAAGUAUAGGAGCUGACGCCUGCCCAGUGCUGGAAGGUUAAGGGAAAGAGUUAGGGUUAAACCGAAGCUUAGAACUGAAGCCCCAGUGAACGGCGGCCGUAACUAUAACGGUCCUAAGGUAGCGAAAUUCCUUGUCAGGUAAGUUCUGACCCGCACGAAAGGCGUAAUGAUUUGGGCGCUGUCUCGACAAUGUCCCCGGCGAAAUUGUAGUACUAGUGAAGAUGCUAGUUACCUGCGAUAAGACAGAAAGACCCCAUGGAGCUUUACUGCAGUUUGAUACUGGGUUUCGAUGAUUUAUGUACAGGAUAGUUGGGAGACUAUGAAAGAGAGGCGUCAGCUUCUCCGGAGUCGUUGUUGGGAUACCAACCUUAAGUUAUUGAAAUUCUAACUUGUAAUCGUAAACCGGUUAGAGGACAAUGUCAGACGGGCAGUUUGACUGGGGCGGUCGCCUCCUAAAGAGUAACGGAGGCGCCCAAAGGUUUCCUCAGCGCGGACAGAAAUCGCGCGAAAGAGUGCAAAGGCAGAAGGAAGCUUAACUGAGAGACAGACAUGUCGACCAGAUACGAAAGUAGGGCUUAGUGAUCCGGUGGUUGUAAAUGGAAAUGCCAUCGCUCAACGGACAAAAGUUACCCUGGGGAUAACAGGCUUAUCUCCCCCAAGAGUUCACAUCGACGGGGAGGUUUGGCACCUCGAUGUCGGCUCAUCGCAUCCUGGAGCGGAAGUACGUUCCAAGGGUUGGGCUGUUCGCCCAUUAAAGCGGUACGCGAGCUGGGUUCAGAACGUCGUGAGACAGUUCGGUCCUUAUCU
This 1434-nucleotide ribosomal RNA is filed under the name human gut metagenome. RNAcentral's name for it is "bacterial LSU rRNA". It matches the Rfam family "Bacterial large subunit ribosomal RNA", at positions 1163 to 2643 of the family's 2925-position model. The record is from RNAcentral.